UACGAAUGUGGCGAGCGUUGUUCGGAAUCACUGGGCGUAAAGCGCACGUAGGCGGAUUGCUAAGUCAGGGGUGAAAUCCUGGAGCUCAACUCCAGAACUGCCUUUGAUACUGGCGAUCUUGAGUCCGGGAGAGGUGAGUGGAACUGCGAGUGUAGAGGUGAAAUUCGUAGAUAUUCGCAAGAACACCAGUGGCGAAGGCGGCUCACUGGCCCGGUACUGACGCUGAGGUGCGAAAGCGUGGGGAGCAAACAGG
Molecule: ribosomal RNA, 253 nt
Filed under: uncultured bacterium
Lineage: Bacteria
Description: partial 16S ribosomal RNA
Rfam family: Bacterial small subunit ribosomal RNA
Source: RNAcentral